CUGGGCGCAGCCUGAUCCAGCCAUGCCGCGUGCAGGAUGACGGUCCUAUGGAUUGUAAACUGCUUUUAUACGAGAAGAAACACUCCAACGUGUUGGAGCUUGACGGUAUCGUAAGAAUAAGGAUCGGCUAACUCCGUGCCAGCAGCCGCGGUAAUACGGAGGAUCCAAGCGUUAUCCGGAAUCAUUGGGUUUAAAGGGUCCGUAGGCGGUUUAGUAAGUCAGUGGUGAAAGCCCAUCGCUCAACGGUGGAACGGCCAUUGAUACUGCUAAACUUGAAUUAUUAGGAAGUAACUAGAAUAUGUAGUGUAGCGGUGAAAUGCUUAGAGAUUACAUGGAAUACCAAUUGCGAAGGCAGGUUACUACUAAUGGAUUGACGCUGAUGGACGAAAGCGUGGGUAGCGAACAGGAUUAGAUACCCUGGUAGUCCACGCCGUAAACGAUGGAUACUARCUGUUGGGAGCAAUCUCAGUGGCUAAGCGAAAGUGAUAARUAUCCCACCUGGGGAGUACSUUCGCMAGAAUGAAACUCAAAGGAAUUGACGGGGGCCCGCACAARCRGUGGAGCAUGUGGUUUAAUUCSAUGAUACGCGASGRACCYUACC
This 601-nucleotide ribosomal RNA is filed under the name Flavobacterium sp. G873. RNAcentral describes it as "bacterial SSU rRNA". It matches the Rfam family "Bacterial small subunit ribosomal RNA", at positions 371 to 975 of the family's 1533-position model. Lineage: Bacteria; Pseudomonadati; Bacteroidota; Flavobacteriia; Flavobacteriales; Flavobacteriaceae. The record is from RNAcentral.